RNAcentral lists this ribosomal RNA (253 nucleotides) under uncultured Lachnospiraceae bacterium. RNAcentral's name for it is "partial 16S ribosomal RNA". It matches the Rfam family "Bacterial small subunit ribosomal RNA", at positions 524 to 776 of the family's 1533-position model. The record is from RNAcentral. Lineage: Bacteria; Bacillati; Bacillota; Clostridia; Lachnospirales; Lachnospiraceae.
UACGUAGGGGGCAAGCGUUAUCCGGAUUUACUGGGUGUAAAGGGAGCGUAGACGGCGGUGCAAGCCAGAUGUGAAAGCCCGGGGCUCAACUCCGGGACUGCUUUUGAAACUGUGUGACUGGAGUGCAGGAGAGGUAAGCGGAAUUCCUGGUGUAGCGGUGAAAUGCGUAGAUAUCACGCAGAACCCCGAUUGCGAAGGCAGCAUACCGGUGCACAACUGACGCUCAGGCACGAAAGCGUGGGUAUCGAACAGG